RNAcentral lists this ribosomal RNA (492 nucleotides) under uncultured bacterium. RNAcentral describes it as "partial 16S ribosomal RNA". It matches the Rfam family "Bacterial small subunit ribosomal RNA", at positions 29 to 507 of the family's 1533-position model. The record is from RNAcentral.
AGUGAACGCUGGCGGUAGGCCUAACACAUGCAAGUCGAACGGCAGCACAGUAAGAGCUUGCUCUUACGGGUGGCGAGUGGCGGACGGGUGAGGAAUACAUCGGAAUCUACUUUUUCGUGGGGGAUAACGUAGGGAAACUUACGCUAAUACCGCAUACGACCUACGGGUGAAAGCAGGGGAUCUUCGGACCUUGCGCGAUUGAAUGAGCCGAUGUCGGAUUAGCUAGUUGGCGGGGUAAAGGCCCACCCAGGCGACGAUCCGUAGCUGGUCUGAGAGGAUGAUCAGCCACAAUGGAACUGAGACACGGUCCAGACUCCUACGGGAGGCAGCAGUGGGGAAUAUUGGACAAUGGGCGCAAGCCUGAUCCAGCCAUACCGCGUGGGUGAAGAAGGCCUUCGGGUUGUAAAGCCCUUUUGUUGGGAAAGAAAAGCAGCAGGUUAAUACCCCGCUGUUCUGACGGUACCCAAAGAAUAAGCACCGGCUAACUUCGUG